This is a non-coding RNA of Pelobates cultripes (western spadefoot toad), 114 nucleotides long. Lineage: Eukaryota; Metazoa; Chordata; Amphibia; Anura; Pelobatidae. The record is from the annotation of a GenBank genome assembly.
UUUUUAUUACCUGUUGUGUGUUAAAUUUAUGUAUGUGUGUAAGUAUAUAUAUAUAUAUAUAUAUAUAUAUACUUACACACAUACAUAAAUUUAACACACAACAGGUAAUAAAAA